RNAcentral lists this long non-coding RNA (1048 nucleotides) under Sus scrofa (pig). RNAcentral's name for it is "lncRNA (ENSSSCG00065013230.1)". Lineage: Eukaryota; Metazoa; Chordata; Mammalia; Artiodactyla; Suidae. The record is from RNAcentral.
GAAACGAAUACAUCAUUGUUUAUUUGCUUGCUUUCUCCCUUCUGCAGUUUUCCAGGUUUGAUUUGGGGACUGGGAGACAGCAGCCUAAACUUGAUCAUCCUUUUGGCAAUUACAGGAUGCUGGAAUCGCUCCUUGAGAAGGCUGGACUUUUACAAAGGCUCUGUCAUCCAUGGAUGUCUGCCCAGAUACUUCUUACAGGAUGCUGCUCUUACAAGCAUAAGUGGAUGUCUUUCACUAUACACACCUCAGGACAUGAACGGAUCGAUGGACAGAGUUAAAGACAAUGAGCAAACUGGCCAAUCCAUAUCUGAAUGUCAAACUAUCGACGCCAGAGAAAAAUUCAUGGUAGGACAGGUUAAAAAGAAAAAAAAAACACUGAAAGAAGAAGCAGGUGUCAGACAUCCCUUUUCCCACCCCUGUUUAUGAAAUUAGGAGCUUCAUCAGGAGGAGAAAAGAGAAAUUAAGCCUAAGAAAAUGGGAAGGAGCAGAGGUUUUACACGAUUCAUGAGGUAGUCAUUUUUUCAAAUAGCGGGUUGGAAUCCUGAAAUAUUAUGUGUGGACCUGGAAGUCUCUUUUUCUGGCACAACAGUAUUUUCCUUCUUUUAAACUCAUCUAUAUAUUAAAUUUUUUGUUAAAUCUUAUCUAGCAUUUUUGUGUUUGCAGCAGGAUAGGGCCUAUUAGCCUCAGCUUACUUCUCCAGAUUUCAGAAAAAAAAGCCUACAUCAGUUUUCCUCAAACUGUAGUCUCAGUUUGACUCAUGCCAACUCACAUGGGAUGCUUGUUAAAAAGACUGAUUGCAGGGCAUCCUAGACCAGACCUACUCAAAUACAACGUUGGAGCAUGGUGCCUGGAAAUCUGCACUUUAAACUAAAACAUGCUACCCAUGCACAUUAAAGUUUAGUAGUGACCUUUGGGGGGAUUUCCAACUUACUGCUCCAGGACAGAAAAAAAAAUCAAAACUAUUGAAGAGAAGAAUACCAAUAAUAGCUUUCCUUACUUGGUUUUCCAUAUGAAUAAAUUCUCAGUCUCACAAAGGUAAGGGGAAAUC